CGGGGCGCCCCCGCUCCCGCCGACGUCCCGCCGAGGCCGCCCCCCGCGGGUCCCCGUCCCGGGGCUGCGCCCAGAAGAGCCGGGAGACGCGCCGACCCCGAGUUGCGGCACCAGCCCGGCCUGAGCUGCACAGACCUGGGAAUCCGGCCCUUCCCAGCCGGUUACUACAGCCGAUGGGACCUCGUGCGCCGCAGAGAAGCACAGACCCCAGAGGCCGGCGGCAAAUUACCGUCCUGCUCCCAGCUGUAUGACCCAGAUCUCCCGCAUGCGGCCCGCCUUUGCAUCAGCUUAGUUUUAAUGUAUGCUCCCAGAAAGGAAGGAAGAGAAACCAGUUGAAUGUGGUUUCUAACUCACCUGGUUCCUGGUGCCUGGAGCCAACACUCCACCUAUAGUCUUUGCUCAAGAAAUAUUUGUGGACAAGUGCCAAGUGACUGUUAACAUGGUAAGGACUGCUCCAGGGACAGUGUUAUCAUUUGGUCUCAUCUGGGAAGGCAAGCUGGAGCUGGGAAGAAUGAGGUGGGGAUGGGAGAAGCUAUAGGAGAAAGCCCAGAGGUGGGAUUGAGCUUGGUGUGUUUGAGAAGCUAGGAUCAGCGUCUUUCAGCUGGAAGGGAGUCAUUCAGGGGACUAGUGGAGAAACAAACUAUUAUAGAACCAAGAAGUGGGUGAAGCCAGGUUAUGAAAGCCUGCCCGAUUCCCUGCAUCCACUUCUAUCUUUAUCACUUUUUAAAAUUGAACAUUUUUAUUGAGAUAAUUGUAGGUUCACAUGCAGGUGUAGGAAAUAACACAGAGAGGUCCCUUGUAUGCUUUGUCCCGUUUGCCCCAAGGGUAGCAUUUUGCAAGACUACUGUGUAAUAUCACACUCAGUAUAUCAACAUGUAUACAUUGAUUCAUGUCUCAAACACCUUGGGUAAUUAUUUGCUAUUUCAAAUUUUUAGUAAAGUUACUCUAAAAUUUUGAAAGAAAUGAACAAAUAUUAUUUUUAUAAAUUUAUUUAUUUUAUUUAUUUAUUUUUGGCUGCAUUGGGUCUUUGUUGCUGCGCUCAGGCUUUCUCUAGCUAUGGAGAGCGGGGGCUACUCUUCGUUGCCUUGCACGGCCUUCUCGUUGCAGCGGCUUCUCUUGUUGUGGAGCACGGGCUCUAGGGCACAUGGGCUUCAGUAGUUGUAGCACGUGGACUCAGUUGCUCUGCGACAUGUGGGAUCUUCCCGGACCAGGGCUCGAACCCAUGUUCCCUGCAUGGGCAGGUGGAUUCUUAACCACUGCGCCACCAGGGAAGCCCAGAAAUGAACAAAGAUUAUGUUAAAGGGUUUUGGUCUCUUGUUUUAUUGGAAACAACUUUUUUUUAAAGGGGAAGAAUGUUUUAUUUUCCCAGUUAGAGCAUAAUGAGGGUCCAGAUUCUUCAUCUGUAAAAGACAGUCAGAAAUCUUUGGGACUUACCUCUGACUGUUCACUUCCCUGCCCUACCCAGUACUGUUGAAGGAACAUUUUGAGCAAUACUGUACAUGACUUGUCAGUUCUGAAAUGAGACAGGAUGCAGUGUUAACUAAUAUGCUAAACUAUGCCUAACCACUAAUGGGCCUUUCUCUCUCCUUGGACAUUGGAUGGGACUGCCACUGAGUGUCUCCCAGAGGGAAGUGAUUCAAGACAAAGACCCAUUCUGCCAGUGGGCUAUGCUGGGAAUACCAACUAUGCUUGUUACAGAAUGUGCACGGCGACUGCUGACCGGCCUUCCCGAUGCCAGCAAGAGGGUACAGAAGCAAUCUCCCAAGCUUUCCACGACAUUCAAGUGACCAGGCACUUUGACCCCCAUCAUUAGGGGCUGCCCCAAAGAAGCUGUGUUCCUACCUCACUUGGUGCCCCUAAGCGGCAGUUCAGACACCAGAGGGUGUGUGACCCUUGUUGAAAUGGAUUUGUCAUAGGUGUGUGCUUUCAAUUGGCGUUUCCCUCCUGUCUUGUUUGAGAAAUCCAAAUCGUUUAAUGCUCCUACCUGCUUCUUUUUGUACAGCUUCACAUUCACAGCAGAAUUUCAUUUUGUCCCUCAAUUGUGUGGCUUGCCUUAAUCCUCUGAUAGAGCUUCAAAUGGUUUAUUCCUUAAUUUUUUUUUUUUUUAAGUGACCUGGAGUUUAGCCAGCUCCAGCCAGUCUCUGAGUUUGGCUUUGUGUCCAUAAGCCGCAGUUGGGAGAAACGCAAGAAAUGCCCAAACAGAAUAAAACAAAUGAUCUAUUUAGUCUCAUUUCCUCUCUUGGAAGAGGUCCAGCUUUGAGUGCUUUGGAAGAAGAUGAAAAUCCCCCCACCCCACCCCCACUGCUCCCUCAUACACCCAAACAGUAUGACCUUGUAUUUAAGUAAAAGCUAUCCUUAGCUCCCAAUGGGUGAUGGUGUUUUGUCUGGAAGAGCUACUGAUGUUUCUAUAAUAAGAUAAUAAUAGUUGCUCCUCUCCUA
This is a non-coding RNA of Globicephala melas (long-finned pilot whale), 2439 nucleotides long. Lineage: Eukaryota; Metazoa; Chordata; Mammalia; Artiodactyla; Delphinidae. The record is from RefSeq and is a predicted model, not a curated record.